This 505-nucleotide ribosomal RNA is filed under the name uncultured bacterium. RNAcentral's name for it is "partial 16S ribosomal RNA". It matches the Rfam family "Bacterial small subunit ribosomal RNA", at positions 28 to 507 of the family's 1533-position model. The record is from RNAcentral.
GACGAACGCUGGCGGCGUGCCUAAUACAUGCAAGUAGAACGCACAGUUUAUACCGUAGCUUGCUACACCAUAGACUGUGAGUUGCGAACGGGUGAGUAACGCGUAGGUAACCUGCCUGGUAGCGGGGGAUAACUAUUGGAAACGAUAGCUAAUACCGCAUAAUAUUGAUUAUUGCAUGAUAAUUGAUUGAAAGAUGCUAUUGCAUCACUACCAGAUGGACCUGCGUUGUAUUAGCUAGUAGGUGAGGUAACGGCUCACCUAGGCGACGAUACAUAGCCGACCUGAGAGGGUGAUCGGCCACACUGGGACGGAGACACGGCCCAGACUCCUACGGGAGGCAUCAGUAGGGAAUCUUCGGCAAUGGACGAAAGUCUGACCGAGCAACGCCGCGUGAGUGAAGAAGGUUGUCGGAUCGUAAAGCUCUGUUGUAAGAGAAGAACGGGUGUGAGAGUGGAAAGUUCACACUGUGACGGUAUCUGACCAGAAAGGGACGGCUAACUACGUG